AGCAACAUAUUCACUGGACGGC
This 22-nucleotide microRNA is filed under the name Parasteatoda tepidariorum (common house spider). Its description in RNAcentral is "pte-miR-11945-5p". The record is from miRBase by way of RNAcentral. Lineage: Eukaryota; Metazoa; Arthropoda; Arachnida; Araneae; Theridiidae.